CAGUAGCCGCGGGAAUACGAAGGGGGCUAGCGUUGUUCGGAUUUACUGGGCGUAAAGCGCACGUAGGCGGAUCGAUCAGUCAGGGGUGAAAUCCUGGAGCUCAACUCCAGAACUGCCUUUGAUACUGUCGAUCUCGAGUCCGGAAGAGGUGAGUGGAACUCCUAGUGUAGAGGUGGAAUUCGUAGAUAUUAGGAAGAACACCAGUGGCGAAGGCGGCCAUCUGGGACAACACUGACGCUGAGGCACGAAAGCGUGGGGAGCAAACAGGAUUAGAUACCCCUGUAGUCCCUGUCUCUUAUAC
Molecule: ribosomal RNA, 301 nt
Filed under: uncultured bacterium
Lineage: Bacteria
Description: partial 16S ribosomal RNA
Rfam family: Bacterial small subunit ribosomal RNA
Source: RNAcentral